UGAAUAUUAGUUUUAACUUAAAACAGCCGCGGGUUAGAUAAGAGCACACCACACCCACAUGUGUUAUCUCCGUCUGACAAACGUACAACAUAACAAAUUUAUGUUCAGUAAUUCAAAUGUAGUGAUAUUAGCUUUAAUAGUAGAGUGAACUGGCCAAUAAUAAUACUUUAUGGGAAGAAUAUUAUUUGUGUUUAGUUAGUCGGUUUAUUCCGAUAUUUUGAUUUUUAAGCAAUUAUGAGUUUUCAUAAAUUUUAAUAUUGUACCUAAUCAUAACUCAUUUAAAAACUAAAGUAUCGAAAAAACCGACUUUUAAAACACGUAUCUCCCUAAAAGUUUGACUAUAGAUGGAGACUUCAGAUCUUCUGCGAGGACUGAUUAACUGAAUGACGGUUGAUCCAUGAACAUCUUUAGCACGACACAGGGUCCAUAUGGACGUGCCGAACUGGUCACCAGUCGUCAAGGCACAGUCAAGUGUAGCCCCGGCGGUCGCGCGUCUUCAAAAGCUCUUCCUGACGGACUCCACGCCGUGGCGGAUACGGAAGAAACCCGUUCACCAAUGGCCGGUUCGGCUGGAACGGGACAUCGUCGGUCGAACGUCUAGACCACAGUGUCGUUGACGUAGCCCUUCUACCGACCACCGGUGACCCGGCUAACUAUGGCGAUCAGCCGUAGCGAACGCUGCUGGCUCGCCGCGAUGGCCUUCCGAGCAUACGUCUAGGCUACCUUGGUCAGUGUUGUCGCGUUAUUGUAACGAACAGAUGUUUAGGUGCAAACUUCAUGUUAGCAACACUACACUAAGUGUAAAAUAUUCUUUGAAAUCUUUAUUGUUUCCACAUAAAAUGAUCCCAACAUUUACUGA
Sipha flava (yellow sugarcane aphid) is the source of this 859-nucleotide long non-coding RNA. RefSeq lists it as uncharacterized. Lineage: Eukaryota; Metazoa; Arthropoda; Insecta; Hemiptera; Aphididae. The transcript is spliced from 2 exons. The record is from RefSeq and is a predicted model, not a curated record.